Long non-coding RNA from Penaeus chinensis, 559 nucleotides. RefSeq lists it as uncharacterized. Lineage: Eukaryota; Metazoa; Arthropoda; Malacostraca; Decapoda; Penaeidae. The transcript is spliced from 2 exons. The record is from RefSeq and is a predicted model, not a curated record.
GAGAGAGGUGGUCGUUGCGGAGCGCUCUCGUGCGUGUGUGUGUCAACGCGAAUCCGUCUGUGAUGGUGUCUGCCGCUUGUGACCCCGCGUGGUGUUUCCGGCUAGAUGACCUUAUUUGCACCCGUCGCCCCUCAUUCAUUCUGUCUCUGUGAUGCUGAGCUAUAUUGACCUUCUGAUGGUGACUAAGACACUGGGGAUUUGAUGGUGAAUUUUUUUUUGGAUAGUGACAGUGCAAUGGAUCGAGCGUGAGGAAGGAGCUUGAGGAUCGAGAAGGAGCCGAGGGAAUUCCCAGAAAAAGGGGGAAAAAGGAAGAGAUAAAGAGAGACGGCGGCAAACGAAGAGAGAAAUAAACAAAAAAAAAAAAAAACAUGGAAAACGUAAAUACUGGAGACGUAAAUAACUGGUGUUGAAAAAGAAGGAGGGGGAGAUAAAGAAAGGAGGGAAGAUAAUAAAGAAAAAAUAUAGAAAAACAACAGUGAUGUGACAGUGUAAAGUCUUUAAGUGAGUUACGAGGCUUCUCAAAAGACAAAAGACAAAAAAAAAGACAAAAGAAAAUAAA